This 1072-nucleotide unclassified non-coding RNA is filed under the name Psephellus persicus. RNAcentral describes it as "external transcribed spacer". Lineage: Eukaryota; Viridiplantae; Streptophyta; Magnoliopsida; Asterales; Asteraceae. The record is from RNAcentral.
UGAUCGGGCCACGAGCCGGUACACGAGACGCUAAACAAAGGCACCGAUCAUGAGACACUAGACGGUAUGUGGGUUGGUAUACGAUGAUUAUUGUUGCGACACGAGUUCGACGCUAUUYGGUUUACGAUAAGGUGCCCCCYGAGYAGGCACGUCGUCUUGGGCUUGCCYUUGGCGGGGUGCUUGCGACAACGGUUGGUCUAGGCCAACCGGGCCGAAUUGAAGUUGUGGCCACACAACGUCAUYGAGGCAUGUUGCUUGUUUUUCCAUGAUUGAUGCAUGUCGGGUUGGUUAAGCCCGCACGAUGUUCCUUGAACGGCCCUGGCCAAUGAAUCGGGUGUUGUGAGCCUUGUGCAACGCUACUGAGGCCAAAUCGCUCGCUGAUCCUCGAUCSUAGCGGGACAAGGUAAGYUGAYGUGCAACCUAUUGAUCCAUGUCUAAAGUAUGCUUGGUUGCCCAAGCUUGGCUAGCGACUAGAUGUUAGUACGAUAUGGUGGUAUAGGUGUGCAUCGAGGCAUGUUGGUUUCAAUUUUUUCUUUGUUACUUUCGCAUCGUUCGGUGCAUUUUGGGGGCUGUUUUGGCUUUUGGUUGCUUGCUUGGCCUUUUGGUUGGGUGGGUCGCUACUAGUCGGGCGGCUUUCGGGAAUGUCGACCGGGGAGGUGCAUGAGUGGUGUUUGGUUUGUUACGGGUGGUUGGCUGUUUGCUUGCGCAACAACGUCCACGCGGCAUACCUCUUCAGUUUUGCGGCAAGACUUCGUUUGUCUUGAGCAUAUUGUGGGUUUCCUGUGUUGCAUACCUAAUCGAUGGUAACGUGUUGGUUUUACGAUGUACCUUUUCGUCAUGCGUCGCUCUUGUGGCGUGGGAUGAACAUUGAAGCGGUCUUUGUGAUCCACCUUGUCGUUGCAUUUGCAAGGAUGAUGUGGCCUAUGAAGCAUUGCUUGGUCUCCUGUAUACAGAACCUGAUGUGGGCAUGGGUCUUAUAAGAUCCUGAAUUUGCCCUCGUUAAGCGUUCUCGCUUCUCCAAAACGAUUGCCUGUCAUGUCUUGGCUUGUCCUUGCAUGGUGGGCUACGUCGA